GACGAACGCUGGCGGCGUGCCUAAUACAUGCAAGUAGAACGCUGAAGGAGGAGCUUGCUUCUCCGGAUGAGUUGCGAACGGGUGAGUAACGCGUAGGUAACCUGCCUGGUAGCGGGGGAUAACUAUUGGAAACGAUAGCUAAUACCGCAUAAGAGUAGAUGUUGCAUGACAUUUGCUUAAAAGGUGCAAUUGCAUCACUACCAGAUGGACCUGCGUUGUAUUAGCUAGUUGGUGAGGUAACGGCUCACCAAGGCGACGAUACAUAGCCGACCUGAGAGGGUGAUCGGCCACACUGGGACUGAGACACGGCCCAGACUCCUACGGGAGGCAGCAGCAGGGAAUCUUCGGCAAUGGACGGAAGUCUGACCGAGCAACGCCGCGUGAGUGAAGAAGGUUUUCGGAUCGUAAAGCUCUGUUGUAAGAGAAGAACGAGUGUGAGAGUGGAAAGUUCACACUGUGACGGUAUCUUACCAGAAAGGGACGGCUAACUACGUG
Molecule: ribosomal RNA, 495 nt
Filed under: uncultured bacterium
Lineage: Bacteria
Description: partial 16S ribosomal RNA
Rfam family: Bacterial small subunit ribosomal RNA
Source: RNAcentral